UUUUCUCGUUUUCCCUUCCAUCGUGUCGUCCUCGAACGGCCGGUCCAGGGCGCUUCUUUCCAUCUUCAACCUUCGUCUUCUCAGACAAGCGUUAGCAGAGGACAACUCCAAAGUUUCCUUCAUGGUUUCCAUGGCUUCCAAGAAGAAGGCGUCCGAAGGUAUCGCUCUAUUGUCCAUGUACAAUGACGAAGAUGAGGACAUGGAGGAUCUCGACGAAGAAGAAGAAGGAGAGGAUGUAGAAAACAAAGAAGACGCGGUUGUUUCUGCAUCUGCCCCUGAAGCCGCUGCUACUCCUCAGUAUGAAGCUUCCCUUCCCAACGAUAAUUCGACCCCAAAGCGAUAGGGCUGCAGCAUGGACGCCGCAGCAGCCCCAAACGUCACUUCCACCCUCACCGUUGCAGCAGGUUCUACCUCCACAGCAUGCCAAUCUUUCGGAUGGUCAGGGAAUGAAAAAAGGGUCUUUGGCAAUCGUCGAUUACAUGCAAGACGAAACCACUAUGUCUCCCGAAGCUGAGGAAAAAAUAAACCGAUUCCUUGCAUAUAAGAGAGCUGGGAAAAGCUUCAAUGCAGAAGUUCGCAAUAGGAAGGAUUAUCGUAAUCCUGACUUCUUGCUGCAUGCAGUGAGGUAUCAAGAUAUAGAUCAGAUAGGAUCUUGCUUCAGUAAAGAUGUGUUUGACCCUCAUGGAUAUGACAAAAGCGACUACUAUGAUGAAAUAGAAGCUGAUAUGAAAUGUGGAAUGGAGAGGAAGGAGCAAGAAAGGAAGAAGAGUCAAAAAGUCGAAUUUGUUGCUGGAGGUACACAACCUGGAACAGUUGCUGCAGCACCAAAAGUUAAUAUGAUUCCAGGUGUUUCAACUAUUGCCUCUAGUGGAUUGCAUUCACUUCCACCUGCUUCAGAUGCCAUGACAAAGGACAGCAGGCCUAAUAAAAAAUCAAAAUGGGACAAGGUCUUAUAUGAAAAAGUUGAUGGUGAUAGAAGACCAGAUCCUGUAUCUACAGCUGGGACUCAUGCAGCACUGUUAUCUGCUGCUAAUGUGGGUGCUGGAUAUACUGCUUUUGCGUACUGUUGAUGAUCUUCUAUCUACAUGACCGGGGGCGGAGCCAAAUAUAUUGGUACUGCUUAAAACCAUGAUUACUUAGUGGAGGCUGGGUUAAAAACAUGAUCAAGUUUCUGCCAUUUGAUCACCUGUCUAAAGGAAAAUUGAGGGGGAGAAAUAAAGCACAUGAACAUCACUAAGCAAUGUUCUUAGGCAACAAAAGCGAAGAGAGGCGGAGGAGAAAAGAUCCAGUGAACGGAAAUUGGAAAAGAGGUCAUGAAUAGCUCUGUAACUAUAGGAAGUUCAGAAGUUUGUGUGCCCUCUUGGUCAUUGAGAGGUACAUUCACACAUCACUAACUUUUAUUUGUACAAGUAAUCGGAAAAUUGGCCAUGUGAGUGAACACCAUCGGAAGCAAUAUAUGAAGUUUGGUGUUUCAAUGUUAAAGAAAAUUGGCCACGUGAUGGAUCCAGAGAAACUUUUUUUCCUUGUACUGAUACUGGAUGAAGCAUUGUAUGCAGCACAAGAAAAUUCAUUUCCUCUUCACUUUGACGGUGAGGAUUGACCACCUGAUUUAAAUAUCAGAGACCUUAAAUGAUUAAAAUGCAAUUCCGUUUUCUUGCGCUUUUUCA
This is an RNA transcript of Nelumbo nucifera (sacred lotus), 1667 nucleotides long. RefSeq lists it as uncharacterized. The record is from RefSeq and is a predicted model, not a curated record. Lineage: Eukaryota; Viridiplantae; Streptophyta; Magnoliopsida; Proteales; Nelumbonaceae.